GAUGAAGAACGUAGCGAAAUGCGAUACUUGGUGUGAAUUGCAGAAUCCCGUGAACCAUCGAGUCUUUGAACGCAAGUUGCGCCCGAAGCCAUUAGGCCGAGGGCACGCCUGCCUGGGCGUCACACGUCGUUGCCCCCCCCAUCUACUCCUUCGGGAUUGCGGGGGGCGGAUGAUGGCCUCCCGUGUGCCUCGCCGCGCGGUUAGCAUAAAUGCCAAGUCCUCGGCGACGCACGCCACGACAAUCGGUGGUUGCGAAACCUCGGUUGCCCGUCGUGUGCGGUCGUCGCGCAUCGAGGGCUCGAAAAAAUUGCCGGGUUCCGGCUCGGCUUUCAACGCGACCCCAGGUCAGGCGGGGUUACCCGCUGAAUUUAAGCAUAUCAAUAAGCGGAGGA
Molecule: unclassified non-coding RNA, 392 nt
Filed under: soil metagenome
Description: partial contains 5.8S ribosomal RNA, internal transcribed spacer 2, and large subunit ribosomal RNA
Rfam family: 5.8S ribosomal RNA (bases 1-122)
Source: RNAcentral